This 214-nucleotide ribosomal RNA is filed under the name Campeiostachys nutans. Its description in RNAcentral is "Elymus nutans partial small subunit ribosomal RNA". The stretch from base 36 to 214 matches the Rfam family "Eukaryotic small subunit ribosomal RNA", at positions 684 to 864 of the family's 1831-position model. Lineage: Eukaryota; Viridiplantae; Streptophyta; Magnoliopsida; Poales; Poaceae. The record is from RNAcentral.
GGAUCAAUAUGUUGGUCGUGCCUUGGUACGUACUAAUUUAUUGGUUUCUUCCUUCUGACGAACCAUGAUGUCAUUAAUUUGGUAUCUUGGGGAAUCAGGGCUGUUACUUUGAAAAAAUUAGAGUGUUCAAAGCAGGCAUUAGCUUGAAUACAUUAGCAUGGAAUAAUGAAAUAGGACGUUCGAUCCUAUUUUGUUGGUUUCUAGGAUUGACGUA